AGAGUUUGAUCAUGGCUCAGAUUGAACGCUGGCGGCAUGCCUUACACAUGCAAGUCGAACGGCAGCACGGGUGCUUGCACCUGGUGGCGAGUGGCGAACGGGUGAGUAAUACAUCGGAACAUGUCCUGUAGUGGGGGAUAGCCCGGCGAAAGCCGGAUUAAUACCGCAUACGAUCUACGGAUGAAAGCGGGGGACCUUCGGGCCUCGCGCUAUAGGGUUGGCCGAUGGCUGAUUAGCUAGUUGGUGGGGUAAAGGCCUACCAAGGCGACGAUCAGUAGCUGGUCUGAGAGGACGACCAGCCACACUGGGACUGAGACACGGCCCAGACUCCUACGGGAGGCAGCAGUGGGGAAUUUUGGACAAUGGGCGAAAGCCUGAUCCAGCAAUGCCGCGUGUGUGAAGAAGGCCUUCGGGUUGUAAAGCACUUUUGUCCGGAAAGAAAUCCUUGGCUCUAAUACAGUCGGGGGAUGACGGUACCGGAAGAAUAAGCACCGGCUAACUACGUGCCAGCAGCCGCGGUAAUACGUAGGGUGCGAGCGUUAAUCGGAAUUACUGGGCGUAAAGCGUGCGCAGGCGGUUUGCUAAGACCGAUGUGAAAUCCCCGGGCUCAACCUGGGAACUGCAUUGGUGACUGGCAGGCUAGAGUAUGGCAGAGGGGGGUAGAAUUCCACGUGUAGCAGUGAAAUGCGUAGAGAUGUGGAGGAAUACCGAUGGCGAAGGCAGCCCCCUGGGCCAAUACUGACGCUCAUGCACGAAAGCGUGGGGAGCAAACAGGAUUAGAUACCCUGGUAGUCCACGCCCUAAACGAUGUCAACUAGUUGUUGGGGAUUCAUUUCCUUAGUAACGUAGCUAACGCGUGAAGUUGACCGCCUGGGGAGUACGGUCGCAAGAUUAAAACUCAAAGGAAUUGACGGGGACCCGCACAAGCGGUGGAUGAUGUGGAUUAAUUCGAUGCAACGCGAAAAACCUCACCUACCCUUGACAUGGUCGGAAUCCCGCUGAGAGGUGGGAGUGCUCGAAAGAGAACCGGCGCACAGGUGCUGCAUGGCUGUCGUCAGCUCGUGUCGUGAGAUGUUGGGUUAAGUCCCGCAACGAGCGCAACCCUUGUCCUUAGUUGCUACGCAAGAGCACUCUAAGGAGACUGCCGGUGACAAACCGGAGGAAGGUGGGGAUGACGUCAAGUCCUCAUGGCCCUUAUGGGUAGGGCUUCACACGUCAUACAAUGGUCGGAACAGAGGGUUGCCAACCCGCGAGGGGGAGCUAAUCCCAGAAAACCGAUCGUAGUCCGGAUUGCACUCUGCAACUCGAGUGCAUGAAGCUGGAAUCGCUAGUAAUCGCGGAUCAGCAUGCCGCGGUGAA
RNAcentral lists this ribosomal RNA (1359 nucleotides) under unidentified marine bacterioplankton. RNAcentral describes it as "bacterial SSU rRNA". It matches the Rfam family "Bacterial small subunit ribosomal RNA", at positions 8 to 1366 of the family's 1533-position model. The record is from RNAcentral. RNAcentral also lists the same sequence under 1 other name.